AGUGAACGCUGGCGGUAGGCCUAACACAUGCAAGUCGAACGGCAGCACAGUAAGAGCUUGCUCUUACGGGUGGCGAGUGGCGGACGGGUGAGGAAUACAUCGGAAUCUACUUUUUCGUGGGGGAUAACGUAGGGAAACUUACGCUAAUACCGCAUACGACCUACGGGUGAAAGCAGGGGAUCUUCGGACCUUGCGCGAUUGAAUGAGCCGAUGUCGGAUUAGCUAGUUGGCGGGGUAAAGGCCCACCAAGGCGACGAUCCGUAGCUGGUCUGAGAGGAUGAUCAGCCACACUGGAACUGAGACACGGUCCAGACUCCUACGGGAGGCAGCAGUGGGGAAUAUUGGACAAUGGGCGCAAGCCUGAUCCAGCCAUACCGCGUGGGUGAAGAAGGUCUUCGGGUUGUAAAGCCCUUUUGUUGGGAAAGAAAAGCGGCAGGUUAAUACCCCGCUGUUCUGACGGUACCCAAAGAAUAAGCACCGGCUAACUUCGUG
Molecule: ribosomal RNA, 492 nt
Filed under: uncultured bacterium
Lineage: Bacteria
Description: partial 16S ribosomal RNA
Rfam family: Bacterial small subunit ribosomal RNA
Source: RNAcentral